UUUUUUUUUUUUUUUUUUUUUUUUUUUUUUUNGCCACACCCGAGGCAUCUGGAGGUUGCCAGCCUAGGGGUCAAAUUGGAGCUACAGCUGCCGGCCUAGGCCACAACCACAGCAAUGCCAGAUCCAAGCUGCAUCUGCAACCCACACCACAGCUCACAGCAAUACCAGAUCCUUAACCCACUGACCGAGGCCAGGGCUUGAACCUGCAACAUCAUGGUUCCUAGUCAGAUUCAUUCCCACUUCACCACAAUGGGAAUGCCCUACAAUGCCCUUUAAACAAUCCUUUAUUGAAGGUUCAGUGGUUAAAUGACUAUGCUGGGUCCUUGGGGCAGGGUGACGUGUUGAAGAUGGGUUCUUUUUUUCACUACUACACUCAUUCUGCUCUGGGCAUAGAAGGUUUUGGCUGUUCCUCCAGCUCAUGAGGGCACUCCUGCCCUCGGACCUAUGGUCUGUACCUGGAGCACUCUGGCCCAGGUAGAUGACCUGCUGCUUCACCUUAUUCAAGUCUUUGCACAUGUGUCACCUUCUAAAUGAGAUGAACUACCUCCCUGAACCACCCCUUUUGAGGCUUCAAUCCUCCCUCACAUACCCUGGUGUUCCUUGUUGCCCCUGCUGUGCUUUAUUUUUCUUCAUACAACUUACUCCCGAUAUUUUAAUUAAUUAGCUUAUUGAAUGGACACCCUCACCCCAUCAACUCUAUUACAGCAGAUAUUUUUAUGUGUUUUGUCUACUGAUAUAUGUGCAAAUCAAGGCUGUAAAUGUUCAGUGAAUAUUGGUGAAUGAAUAAAUGAAUGAUUACACGAAUGAAUGAAGGUGAGAAUGGGGGAAAUCACUGUAGCAUGAAGCUUGAGCUAAUAGGAGCCGGGAAGAAGAUAAGUAAUAAGUUAUGGGGCUACAGCAGAAAAAGUGAUCCUAACCCAGCAGCAAAUUUUUGGGGAGGCAUGACAGGGAGUGAAACUUCUGAGUUGGUCCACAUAAGAGGAAGCAUGAGAAAAGAGUAAAAUUUUACAUGUGUAGAAGCAAGGGAUUGAGUAAAAGCACAGAUGAACAGUUAGCUGGACAUCUGGAGUUUUGAUGUAUCUUAAGAAUCAGGUGUAUGGAAUUAUGUAGUAAGAAGAGCUAAAAAGCUUCAUGCAUCAGCCAGAUUGUUCUUGGCUGUGAGGACUAAAACCAUGAAUGAAAUGAUAUCCUUAGAACACUGGCAUAAUCAGUUAGACAUAUACUCCCUCUCACAGCUGUACCCCCCUCGCAGGGCUGCCUCAGACUGAGACGAGUUGGCAGCUCAGUGAUACCAUCCAGGACCCACGUUCUUUCCAUCUCUCCACACCCUUCAAACUUUGCAGAAGUUUCCUCCUCAGGUUGAUUCAAAAAUGACUGCUGCAAUUUUAGGCCUCACAUUUUCACUAUUAACAGAGGGAGAAGGUAGACUCUUUUCUCUUCCUGUGGGUUUAUCUUAGAAAUGAUAAGCCUUUAUCAGAGGACACUUGGCACACUUUCUUUCACAUGUCAUAGACCAGAGUUGCACCACAAGCCCAUUUCUGAGUAGCUUCUUCAUUUGGAACCUCUCCCACAAACACACCAAAAAAACACAUGUACAUGUGGAAGGUUUCACACAGAUCAUCUACUGAAUGCUGGCAGAAGAACUUAAACCUCCAAAAAGGGCAAGAAAUCCUCCACCUAACUGGGUAGAACAAAAGGAAAACACACAAGCUAACAAAAUAUAUGAUGUCAGAUUAGAAAUUCUAUAAACACAAUCAAAGUAGUGUAAGAGACAGGAGCUUUAUCCACUCUCUUGAGAUAAAACAUGAUGGACGAUAAUAUGACAAAAAGAAAAAAAUAUAUAUAUAUAUUCAUAUAUAUGUGUGAAUGACUGGGUCACUGUGCCAUACAGCAGAAAUUGACACGACGUGGUAAAUCAAAACUACACUUUAAUGAAAAAUAAAGGGGAAGAGGUUUGGGUUGUGUGGGCAGAGAAAGAGUCUCUGCGAAAAUGACAUUUAAGCAGAGACUUGAGUGAAUUGAAGGAAGGAGCCCUGUGAAGAUCUGAAAAAAGCUCUUUCUAUACAGAGAACAGCCAGUCCAGAGCCCUGAACCAGCAGUGAGUUUGGUAAUGCUCAAGAAACACCGUGGAAGGCGAAGUAGCUAGAACAGAAUAAGACAAGUAGGAUAUGUAAGGAGAUGAGGUGAGAGAAUUUGCAAAGGGGGCAGAUCAUGAUGGGUCCUCUAGGCCUUAGUAAGGAUGCGGGGUUGUAUCCUAAGGCGGAUAGGAAGGCAUUGAAUGAUUUUGAAGAGAAGAGUGGUGUGAUCCAAUUUACAUUUUGAAAGGGAUCUCUCUGUCUACAGAGAAAUGAUUGUGGGGAAAAGUGCAGAAGAUGAGAUAGGCGACC
This 2387-nucleotide long non-coding RNA is filed under the name Sus scrofa (pig). Its description in RNAcentral is "lncRNA (ENSSSCG00040007934.1)". The record is from RNAcentral. Lineage: Eukaryota; Metazoa; Chordata; Mammalia; Artiodactyla; Suidae.